RNAcentral lists this ribosomal RNA (647 nucleotides) under uncultured bacterium. RNAcentral's name for it is "bacterial SSU rRNA". It matches the Rfam family "Bacterial small subunit ribosomal RNA", at positions 1 to 702 of the family's 1533-position model. The record is from RNAcentral.
UAGAGUUUGAUCAUGGCUCAGAACGAACGCUGGCGGCAGGCCUAACACAUGCAAGUCGAGCGCACCUUCGGGUGAGCGGCGGACGGGUUAGUAACGCGUGGGAACGUGCCCUUUUCUGCGGAAUAGCCACUGGAAACGGUGAGUAAUACCGCAUACGCCCUUCGGGGGAAAGAUUUAUCGGAGAAGGAUCGGCCCGCGUUAGAUUAGGUAGUUGGUGGGGUAAUGGCCUACCAAGCCUACGAUCUAUAGCUGGUUUGAGAGGAUGAUCAGCAACACUGGGACUGAGACACGGCCCAGACUCCUACGGGAGGCAGCAGUGGGGAAUCUUAGACAAUGGGGGCAACCCUGAUCUAGCCAUGCCGCGUGAGUGAUGAAGGCCUUAGGGUCGUAAAGCUCUUUCGCUGGGGAUGAUAAUGACAGUACCCAGUAAAGAAACCCCGGCUAACUCCGUGCCAGCAGCCGCGGUAAUACGGAGGGGGUUAGCGUUGUUCGGAAUUACUGGGCGUAAAGCGCACGUAGGCGGACUGGAAAGUUAGAGGUGAAAUCCCGGGGCUCAACCCCGGAACUGCCUUUAAAACUAUCAGUCUAGAGUUCGAGAGAGGUGAGUGGAAUUCCGAGUGUAGAGGUGAAAUUCGUAGAUAUUCGGA